GCCGGGCAUGGUGGCUCAUGCCUAUAAUCCCAGCAUUUUGGGAGGCCGAGGCAGGUGGAUCACCUGAGGUCAGGAGUUCAAGACCAGCCUGGCCAACAUGGUGAAACCCUGUCUCUA
Molecule: non-coding RNA, 117 nt
Filed under: Pan paniscus (pygmy chimpanzee)
Lineage: Eukaryota; Metazoa; Chordata; Mammalia; Primates; Hominidae
Also listed under: 1 other name
Source: Rfam by way of RNAcentral